Capsicum annuum is the source of this 107-nucleotide non-coding RNA. Lineage: Eukaryota; Viridiplantae; Streptophyta; Magnoliopsida; Solanales; Solanaceae. The record is from Rfam.
UGAUGAUGAUGUAGACAGUCCUGAAGAAGAACUUUGAACCUCUCCCAUGCAUGACAUAAAUUCUUAUAGGGAUUUUGUUUAAAGCAUACAAUCUCAUUGCGCAGUCU